This 406-nucleotide ribosomal RNA is filed under the name uncultured bacterium. RNAcentral describes it as "partial 16S ribosomal RNA". It matches the Rfam family "Bacterial small subunit ribosomal RNA", at positions 30 to 526 of the family's 1533-position model. The record is from RNAcentral.
AUUGAACGCUGGCGGCAGGCCUAACACAUGCAAGUCGAACGAGUGGCGGACGGGUGAGUAAUGUCUGGGCAACUGCCUGAUGGAGGGGGAUAACUACUGGAAACGGUAGCUAAUACUGCAUACUAUCGGAUGUGCCCAGAUGGGAUUAGCUAGUAGGUGGGGUAAAGGCUCACCUAGGCGACGAUCCCUAGCUGGUCUGAGAGGAUGAAGAGCCACACUGGAACUGAGACACGGUCCAGACUCCUACGGGAGGCAGCAGUGGGGAAUAUUGCACAAUGGGCGCAAGUCUGAUGCAGCCAUGCUGCGUGUAUGAAGAAGGCCUUCGGGUUGUAAAGUACUUUCAGCUGAGAGGCGUUACCCGCAGAAAAAGCAACGGCUAACUCCGUGCCAGCCGCCGCGGUAAUAC